RNAcentral lists this ribosomal RNA (253 nucleotides) under uncultured bacterium. RNAcentral describes it as "partial 16S ribosomal RNA". It matches the Rfam family "Bacterial small subunit ribosomal RNA", at positions 524 to 776 of the family's 1533-position model. The record is from RNAcentral.
UACAGAGGGUGCAAGCGUUAAUCGGAAUUACUGGGCGUAAAGCGUGCGUAGACGGUAGCGUAAGUCGGGUGUGAAAGCCCCGGGCUCAACCUGGGAAUUGCAUUCGAGACUGCUCUGCUAGGGUGCGGAAGAGGGAAGCGGAAUUUCCGGUGUAGCGGUGAAAUGCGUAGAUAUCAGGAGGAACACCUGCGGUGUAGACGGCUUACUGGACGGUAACUGACGCUGAGGCACGAAAGCGUGGGUAGCAAACAGG